GCAAACAGAAAGUACAGCCCAUGGAAGAUGGUUCUGAAGGCAGCCGCCCAAAGGAGAUGAGACCACAAGAGCUGGUAAGACUUUCAACCAGAACCCAGCCUCGAUCCCUCCAUGGAAGAUGAGCUAGGUCACCACUGACCUGGCAUGAAUAGGAGCCAGUCAGCAAGAGGGGCACCUGGAAGAGUGCUGGAGAAGGAAAAUGGUUACGUCUAAAGCUCUUUCCCAUCACGUUUGGCACCCUGAAUGAUCUGCUGAAACAGAAAUCCAUUUCUUUUUUAUUAUUGGAGAAUUCAUUUGUAAUCAUCAGUUUGGUUUAAAGAACACAGCAUGGAAGACAGAAUUUACAUCGACAUCACAAGGCUGCUGACUUGAGGAUGCUUGGAAUGAAGAACAGCUGAAGUGUUCCGUAUAACAGACUCACGGGAAGAUCUGCCCUAGACACUUCCUGCUGUGUACCCUGACCCACCCUACUCCCAAGAAAGACAAGCCGCCACAAAGUACCAGGUUACAGUCGUCACAUCUCCAGCGUAGUCCAGCACUGCGCCACAAACCUACACCUGACUCUCCAUUGCAGACAUCCAAGUGCCUAUAUGCUCUCUUAACUAAACAAAACAAGCACAUAGGCUGUAGAGUAAAAGAUGAAACUAAUGGGCUGAAGAGAUGGCUCAGUGGUUAAGAGCACUGGCUACUCUUCCAGAGGACCAAGGUUCAAUUCUCAGCACCCAAAUGACAGUUCACAAUUGUCUGUAACUCCUGUUCUAGAGGACCUGACACCCUCACACAGACAUACAUGCAGGCAAAAUACCACUGCUCAUGAAAUAAAAAUAAAUUAAAAAAAAUUUUUUAC
Long non-coding RNA from Mus musculus (house mouse), 847 nucleotides. RefSeq annotates it as RIKEN cDNA E030046B03 gene. The transcript is spliced from 2 exons. NCBI's taxonomy places the organism in Eukaryota, Metazoa, Chordata, Mammalia, Rodentia, Muridae. The record is from RefSeq and is marked validated.